RNAcentral lists this long non-coding RNA (366 nucleotides) under Phoenix dactylifera (date palm). Its description in RNAcentral is "long non-coding RNA (PDAC_LNC020698)". The record is from RNAcentral. Lineage: Eukaryota; Viridiplantae; Streptophyta; Magnoliopsida; Arecales; Arecaceae.
AGAAAGAAAAAAGAAAAAGAUAGACAGGAAGAGCAGAGACAGAGAUGCUACUGCCAACACUAGCAACAUGCCGAGGUUACAGGAUUGCAGCAACUUAUUGUGCAAUCUCACUCUAAACAUUAGGAAAAUAAAAAGAUCACAAGCAACUGCAACUGGACUCGUGCUUGGACAUCACCAUUAGACUAACAUAUGAACCUAGAAAAUGAGACAAAAGGGGAAACAACAAAAAUAUAGGUAAAUCAUACCAGUUCGGAGCAUUUUUGUCGGUUCACUUUGAUCUAAUAAAUCUGUCGAAGGAUUACCAAUAACAAUUGCAGAGCCCAACUUGGUUACCAUAUUUUCUUGUUUACCCAGAAUUACUACUAC